Molecule: ribosomal RNA, 483 nt
Filed under: uncultured bacterium
Lineage: Bacteria
Description: bacterial SSU rRNA
Rfam family: Bacterial small subunit ribosomal RNA
Source: RNAcentral
AAUCAACGCUGGCGGCGUGCCUCAGACAUGCAAGUCGAACGCGAAAGGUUCCUUCGGGGACCGAGUAGAGUGGCGCACGGGUGAGUAACACGUAGGUAAUUUGCCUUUGGGUGGGGAAUAACAGCCGGAAACGGCUGCUAAUACCGCAUAAUGCAGCGGCUCGACAUCGAGACAGUUGUUAAAGCGGGGAUCGCAAGACCUCGCGCCUAAAGAGAAGCCUGCGGCAGAUUAGCUAGUUGGCAGGGUAAUGGCCUACCAAGGCGACGAUCUGUAACCGGCCUGAGAGGGCGGUCGGUCACACUGACACUGACAUACGGGUCAGACUCCUACGGGAGGCAGCAGUCGGGAAUUUUGGGCAAUGGGCGAAAGCCUGACCCAGCAACGCCGCGUGAAGGAUGAAAUCCCUCGGGAUGUAAACUUCGCAAGAAUGGGAAGAAUAAGUGUGGGCUAAUACCCUCAUGAUGACGGUACCAUUUGUAAGCU